Small nucleolar RNA from Quercus lobata, 83 nucleotides. The record is from RefSeq and is a predicted model, not a curated record. Lineage: Eukaryota; Viridiplantae; Streptophyta; Magnoliopsida; Fagales; Fagaceae.
GUGAAUGAUGAUAAAUGCACUGGGCUCUGAGCAGUUUUUUUUUUCUUUGAUGGAAAUGCAGCCUAGAAAGCUGUUUCUGAUAC